UGCCUGGUGGUGUAAUGGUAACACAUCAGAUUUUGGUUCUGAGAUUCUAGGUUCGAACCCUAGCCGGGCAG
Molecule: transfer RNA, 71 nt
Filed under: Candidatus Omnitrophota bacterium
Lineage: Bacteria; Pseudomonadati; Candidatus Omnitrophota
Description: Candidatus Omnitrophica bacterium (sediment metagenome) tRNA-Gln
Rfam family: tRNA
About the family: Transfer RNA (tRNA) molecules are approximately 80 nucleotides in length. Their secondary structure includes four short double-helical elements and three loops (D, anti-codon, and T loops).
Source: RNAcentral